This 444-nucleotide long non-coding RNA is filed under the name Sinocyclocheilus grahami. RNAcentral's name for it is "lncRNA (ENSSGRG00000042107.1)". The record is from RNAcentral. Lineage: Eukaryota; Metazoa; Chordata; Actinopteri; Cypriniformes; Cyprinidae.
AUUUUUGUUUUCAGGAGGCUCAACUGGCAAGAAGUGAAGCAGAAAAAAUGGCUUCCCUGGCAGAUUCAGAGUCCCAGCGCUGUUUGGCCCUAGAAAGGAGGAUGAUGAUAGAAAUGCAGGGAGGAAAUGAAAGCUUGUCUGCCAUGGCACAACGUGAAGAGAUGGCUAAGAAGGACAGGUUGAUAGAAGAACUGAAUGAAACCGUAUGCAGGAGAGAGCAAGAGGCAGCCGAUCUGAGUGCACAAAGGGAUGCCCUUACUGUAAAACUAACUCAACUGGAAGAGCAAGUGCAGAGCCUUAACAUUUCCCUCCAGCAGAAAGAGAAACACACACAGACUCUCAGAGAAGAACUGGCUCAUGGAAAAGGCAAUACAGAGCAGGAGAUGCAAGUAAGACUUUUUCUUCUAUUUAUGUUUUAUCUCAAGUAAAUCUUUAUAAAAAGUA